UUCCCAGUGGCCAAGUCGGUUAAGGCGUUAUGCUUAUAACGUAAAGAUCCCGAGUUCGAUCCUCGGCUGGGAAA
Molecule: transfer RNA, 74 nt
Filed under: Entomortierella parvispora
Lineage: Eukaryota; Fungi; Mortierellomycota; Mortierellomycetes; Mortierellales; Mortierellaceae
Description: tRNA-Ile
Rfam family: tRNA
About the family: Transfer RNA (tRNA) molecules are approximately 80 nucleotides in length. Their secondary structure includes four short double-helical elements and three loops (D, anti-codon, and T loops).
Source: RNAcentral